This 501-nucleotide ribosomal RNA is filed under the name uncultured bacterium. RNAcentral describes it as "partial 16S ribosomal RNA". It matches the Rfam family "Bacterial small subunit ribosomal RNA", at positions 30 to 523 of the family's 1533-position model. The record is from RNAcentral.
AUUGAACGCUGGCGGCAGGCUUAACACAUGCAAGUCGAGCGGAGAGAGGUAGCUUGCUACUGAUCUUAGCGGCGGACGGGUGAGUAAUGCUUAGGAAUCUGCCUAUUAGUGGGGGACAACAUUUCGAAAGGAAUGCUAAUACCGCAUACGUCCUACGGGAGAAAGCAGGGGAUCUUCGGACCUUGCGCUAAUAGAUGAGCCUAAGUCGGAUUAGCUAGUUGGUGGGGUAAAGGCAUACCAAGGCGACGAUCUGUAGCGGGUCUGAGAGGAUGCUCCGGCGCACUGGGACGUAGACACGGCCCAGACUCCUACGGGAGGCAGCAGUGGGGAAUAUUGGACAAUGGGCGCAAGCCUGAUCCAGCCAUGCCGCGUGUGUGAAGGAGGCCUUAUGGUUGUAAAGCACUUUAAGCGAGGAGGAGGCUACUUUAGUUAAUACCUAGAGAUAGUGGACGUUACUCGCAGAAUAAGCACCGGCUAACUCUGUGCCAGCCGCCGCAGUAA